Molecule: long non-coding RNA, 385 nt
Organism: Hibiscus syriacus
Lineage: Eukaryota; Viridiplantae; Streptophyta; Magnoliopsida; Malvales; Malvaceae
Exons: 3
Source: RefSeq, a predicted model, not a curated record
AAUAAAGAGAUGAAAAAGAUAAAAGGAUUAUAUUCUUCUUCUUCCGUAAGAAAACAUGUGAAAGAGAUGCAAUGCUAAGGCAAGUCGACUCACUCUUUAUUACGAUGAUGCAUGAUGAUAUGGAGGCUUAAGGUUCAGGUUUUGAGGAUCACAAUGGGGCAACGAUGUCAUCAGAGGAGUCUCAGUGGAAGUACCAGAAUACAACGAUGAAGACUUAAGUGAGAAUGUAAAGAUUAUGAUUUUAUUCGAGUUUGUUGCAAUUUUUUUAUUUAAGUAUUUUGGUUUUCAAAUAAAGGAGCUCCACAUUUUAUAAAUGCUUAUUUUUUUUAUAUUCCACAUUAUUGGAUUUUAACUUUUAAGUAAAUUGUAUUUUUCUAAGUCUUGA